This is a long non-coding RNA of Melanotaenia boesemani (Boeseman's rainbowfish), 268 nucleotides long. RefSeq lists it as uncharacterized. The record is from RefSeq and is a predicted model, not a curated record. The transcript has 3 exons. NCBI's taxonomy places the organism in Eukaryota, Metazoa, Chordata, Actinopteri, Atheriniformes, Melanotaeniidae.
AGCAGCAUCAGGGAAUUUUCUGGUUUUUCGGAUCGUCCCACUCUGGUUGUCGUGGUCUUUAAUUUAUUUGUAGUCUUGUGUGAAUUUUCUACGUGCGCUGCUUUGCGUUAUGAUGAAUCCCCACGUUCUCUAACUGAGAACUGAUCGUUGCGAAUAUUUUUAUAUUCCGCUGAAAACCUUUAAAACCUCUCUGAAUAUCGUCUGUGGUGUAGACGGUCAGAAGAGCUUUGACCUCCCCGUCGGUCCAUUUAUCGCAUGCUCUGUUGUU